CCUACGGGUGGCAGCAGUCGAGAAUCAUUCACAAUGGGGGAAACCCUGAUGGUGCGACGCCGCGUGGGGGAAUGAAGGUCUUCGGAUUGUAAACCCCUGUCAUGUGGGAGCAAAUUAAAAAGAUAGUACCACAAGAGGAAGAGACGGCUAACUCUGUGCCAGCAGCCGCGGUAAUACAGAGGUCUCAAGCGUUGUUCGGAAUCACUGGGCGUAAGGCGUGCGUAGGCUGUGUCGUAAGUCGUGUGUGAAAGGCGCGGGCUCAACCCGCGGACGGCACAUGAUACUGCGAGACUAGAGUAAUGGAGGGGGAACCGGAAUUCUCGGUGUAGCAGUGAAAUGCGUAGAUAUCGAGAGGAACACUCGUGGCGAAGGCGGGUUCCUGGACAUUAACUGACGCUGAGGCACGAAGGCCAGGGGAGCGAAAGGGAUUAGAUACCCCAGUAGUC
This 446-nucleotide ribosomal RNA is filed under the name uncultured bacterium. RNAcentral's name for it is "partial 16S ribosomal RNA". It matches the Rfam family "Bacterial small subunit ribosomal RNA", at positions 338 to 795 of the family's 1533-position model. The record is from RNAcentral.